GAUGAACGCUAGCUACAGGCUUAACACAUGCGAGUCGCGGGGCAGCAUGGGGGUUGCUUGCAAUCCCUGAUGGCGACCGGCGCACGGGUGAGUAACGCGUAUCCAACCUGCCCUUCACCACGGGAUAACCCGGCGAAAGUCGGACUAAUACCGUAUGUUGUCCAUUGACGGCCUCCGAUUUGGACGAAAGGCUUAGCGGUGAGGGAUGGGGAUGCGUCCGAUUAGCUUGACGGCGGGGUAACGGCCCACCGUGGCUACGAUCGGUAGGGGUUCUGAGAGGAAGGUCCCCCACACUGGAACUGAGACACGGUCCAGACUCCUACGGGAGGCAGCAGUGAGGAAUAUUGGUCAAUGGGCGUAAGCCUGAACCAGCCAAGUAGCGUGCAGGAUGACGGCCCUAUGGGUUGUAAACUGCUUUUAUGCGGGGAUAAAGGGACCCACGUGUGGGUUUUUGCAGGUACCGCAUGAAUAAGGACCGGCUAAUUCCGUG
Molecule: ribosomal RNA, 490 nt
Filed under: uncultured bacterium
Lineage: Bacteria
Description: partial 16S ribosomal RNA
Rfam family: Bacterial small subunit ribosomal RNA
Source: RNAcentral